This 513-nucleotide long non-coding RNA is filed under the name Linum usitatissimum (flax). RNAcentral describes it as "long non-coding RNA (LUSI_LNC005641)". Lineage: Eukaryota; Viridiplantae; Streptophyta; Magnoliopsida; Malpighiales; Linaceae. The record is from RNAcentral.
UAAGUUGGAAAGUAAAUGACUUUGAUUAUUAUUCAUUUACGGUAUAUAUACAAGAGUACACAAUUAAGUCCCUACAUAGUUGGAGUAAUCUAAACCACAAAAGAUACACGAAAAGAGUGGGCUAUUAACUAGGAUAGCAGGCUAAGUUUUCUGUUAUUAGGUUUAGAGGAGUGGAUCGGUCGCCCCAGACUGAUCGGUUAAUUAUGUAGAAACGAUUUCCUUGGUUAUGUUUUUUGGGCGAUUUAAUUGACUUGUGCCCUAAGAUGUCUCGAUAUCCAUGGGGUCUGAUGAAAUCAUCUCGUAUCGACAUCUCUUCUUCUCCGGAAAGAAUAAAGAUCAGCAGCUCCUCCAUGGUCUCCCCGUACCUAAAAAUUUCAUUCAAACAAAACCUACAGAAUGUAGACAGACAACCCAGUUAUUCUAAUUGGGCCGCAAGGGCCUGGAAAAGAACACAUAAGAGAGCCGGCUGCUCAAUAAGAAAAGCUUAUGCGUAUUUAUGCAUGUGCAUCCCGC